AUGGGCAAAGGAGAUCCUAAGAAGCCGAGAGGCAAAAUGUCCUCAUAUGCAUUCUUUGUGCAAACUUGCCGGGAGGAGCACAAGAAGAAGCACCCAGAUGCUUCUGUCAACUUCUCAGAGCUCUCCAAGAAGUGCUCAGAGAGGUGGAAGACCAUGUCUGCUAAAGAAAAGGGGAAAUUUGAAGAUAUGGCAAAGGCUGAAAAGGCUCGUUAUGAAAGAGAAAUGAAAACCUACACCCCCCAAAGGGGAGACCAAAAAGAAGUUCAAGGACCCCAAUACACCCAAGAGGCCUCCUUCGGCCUUCUUCUUGUUCUGUUCUGAGUACCGCCCCAAAAUCAAAGGCGAGCAUCCUGGCUUAUCCAUUGGUGAUGUUGCAAAGAAACUAGGAGAGAUGUGGAACAACACUGCAGCAGAUGACAAGCAGCCCUAUGAGAAGAAAGCUGCCAAGCUGAAGGAGAAGUACGAGAAGGAUAUUGCUGCCUACAGAGCUAAAGGAAAACCUGAUGCAGCGAAAAAGGGGGUGGUCAAGGCUGAAAAGAGCAAGAAAAAGAAGGAAGAGGAAGAUGAUGAGGAAGAUGAAGAGGAUGAGGAAGAGGAGGAAGAAGAGGAAGACAAAGAUGAAGAAGAUGAUGAUGAUGAAUAA
This 643-nucleotide long non-coding RNA is filed under the name Mus musculus (house mouse). RNAcentral's name for it is "long non-coding RNA chrX:77456585-77457228". Lineage: Eukaryota; Metazoa; Chordata; Mammalia; Rodentia; Muridae. The record is from RNAcentral.